RNAcentral lists this ribosomal RNA (253 nucleotides) under uncultured bacterium. RNAcentral's name for it is "partial 16S ribosomal RNA". It matches the Rfam family "Bacterial small subunit ribosomal RNA", at positions 524 to 776 of the family's 1533-position model. The record is from RNAcentral.
UACGUAGGGGGCAAGCGUUGUCCGGAAUCAUUGGGCGUAAAGAGCGUGUAGGCGGUUCGGUAAGUCGGCUGUGAAAGUCCAGGGCUCAACCCUGGGAUGCCGGUCGAUACUGCCGGACUAGAGUUCGGAAGAGGCGAGUGGAAUUCCCGGUGUAGCGGUGAAAUGCGCAGAUAUCGGGAGGAACACCAGUGGCGAAGGCGACUUCCUGGCCUGUUCUUGACGCUGAGGCGCGAAAGCUAGGGGAGCAAACGGG